ACAUCUGGUUCGGUUUGCCGCAUAGUCAGUGCGCAGAAGAGAGGGGAUCCUGAAGAGACCUCAGCUGUCGCUGGUAAGAACGCUGGGGCAGAAAGUAGAGGGCCCAGAAAUCUGGGGUGAUGGCAAAAAGGGGUGUGGGGGUGGGAUUUUCGCUCCUCAGAAAAUUGGCUGUGUUUACAGCUGCCCGAAUUUGAUUCAAGUCUUUCCCCAAACCUUAGCUUUGGGGCCUGUUUCCAGUGGCCCUGGAGUAAGAGGAAGCUUCUGUGCAUGUGCAAAGCACUUGGGGGGGUGAAUUCAGGGAGGAAAAGGUUAUCAAUGGCUUAUGAGCUUUGCCUCCACAGUCGGAGGCGAUGAUUCUUCUGAAUCAUAGAAUCAUAGAAUAGAAUCAUAGAAUCACAGAGUUGGAAGAGACCACAAGGGCCAUCGAGUCCAACCCCCUGCCAAGCAGGAAACACCAUCAGAGCACUCCUGACAUAUGGUUGUCAAGCCUCUGCUUAAAGACCUCCAAAGGAGGAGACUCCACCACACUCCUUGGCAGCAAAUUCCACUGUCGAACAGCUCUUACUGUCAGGAAGUUCUUCCUAAUGUUUAGGUGGAAUCUUCUUUCUUGUAGUUUGGAUCCAUUGCUCCGUGUCCGCUUCUCUGGAGCAGCAGAAAACGACCUUUCUCCCCCCUCUAUGUGACAUCCUUUUAUAUAUUUGAACAUGGCUAUCAUAUCACCCCUUAACCUCCUCUUCUCCAGGCUAAACAUGCCCAGCUCCCUUAGCCGUUCCUCAUAAGGCAUUGUUUCCAGGCCUUUGACCAUUUUGGUUGCCCUCCUCUGGACACGUUCCAGUUUGUCAGUGUCCUUCCUGAACUGUGGUGCCCAGAACUGGACACAGUACUCCAGGUGAGGUCUGACCAGAGCAGAAUACAGUGGCACUAUUAUUUCCCUUGAUCUAGAUGCUAUACUCCUAUUGAUGAGGCCCAGAAUUGCAUUGGCUUUUUUAGCUGCCGCGUCACACUGUUGGCUCAUGUCAGGUUUGUGGUCAACCAAGACUCCUAGAUCCUUUUCACAUGUACUGCUCUCAAGCCAGGUGUCACCCAUCUUGUAUUUGUGCCUCUCAUUUUUUUGCCCAAGUGCAAUACUUUACAUUUUCCCUGUUAAAAUUCAUCUUGUUUGUUUUGGCCCAGUUCUCUAAUCUGUCAAGGUCGUUUUGAAGUGUGAUCCUGUCCUCUGGGGUGUUAGCCACCCCUCCCAGUUUGGUGUCAUCUGCAAAUUUGAUCAGGAUGCCCUUGAGUCCAUCAUCCAAGUCGUUGAUAAAGAUGUUGAAUAAGACCGGGCCCAAGACGGAACCCUGUGAAUACCAGUUGCUGGAAGCCACAGUGGUGAAAGUGCUCUUGCCCUGGGGUCUUGCUUGUGGGUUUCUCACAGACCUCUGUUUGGCCUCUGUGAGAACAGGAUGCUGGACCAGAUGGGCCACUGGCCUGAUCCAGCAGGCUCUCCUUACGUUUCGUUCCCUGGUGACAAAUCCCAGAAUAGUAGCCUUGUAGGGAUGCGAGUGGUGCUGUGGUCUAAACCACUGAGCCUCUUGAGCUUGCCAAUCGGAACAUCAGUGGUUCGAAUCUGCGCGACGUGGUGAGCUCCCGUCGCUCUGUCCCAGCUUCUGCCGACCUAGCAGUUCGAAAACACGCCAGCGCAAGUAGAUAAACAGGUACCACUGUGGCGGGAAAGUAAACGGCGUUUCCGUGCAAUCGGGCACUUGUCACAGUGUCCCGUUGUGCUAGAAGUGGUUUAGUCAUGGUGGCGCGGAAGGCCGUCUGUGGACAAACAGUGGCUCUCUUGGCCUGAAAGCGAGAUGAGCACCGCAUCUCAUAGUCACCUUUGACCAUGGGUGUAGCCAAGGGGGUAGGGAGGGGAAGCUGUCCUCCCCAAUC
This 1917-nucleotide long non-coding RNA is filed under the name Podarcis lilfordi (Lilford's wall lizard). Lineage: Eukaryota; Metazoa; Chordata; Lepidosauria; Squamata; Lacertidae. The record is from RNAcentral.